AUAUCCCUGCGGUGCACGUUGGAGAUUUUGAUAAUUAUUGAACCAACACUAUUUUCAAGGGAGCCACGCUUCUUUAGGCACAUGUGUUUAAAGAGAGGCACCCACCUGAAAGCAAACCGGUUCAGACUAUCUAUCCAACGGCACUUCUGCGGGGAUUUU
This 159-nucleotide non-coding RNA is filed under the name Candidatus Omnitrophota bacterium. Its description in RNAcentral is "Candidatus Omnitrophica bacterium 6S RNA". It matches the Rfam family "6S / SsrS RNA". Rfam says of the family: E. coli 6S RNA was the first non coding RNA to be sequenced, but its function was unknown until recently. Lineage: Bacteria; Pseudomonadati; Candidatus Omnitrophota. The record is from RNAcentral.